CGGUAGAGUCUCUUCGGAGACUUGAGAGCGGCGUACGGGUGCGGAACACGUGUGCAACCUGCCUUUAUCAGGGGGAUAGCCUUUCGAAAGGAAGAUUAAUACUCCAUAAUAUAAUUUACGGCAUCGUGAAUUAUUGAAAACUCCGGUGGAUAGAGAUGGGCACGCGCAAGAUUAGAUAGUUGGUGAGGUAACGGCUCACCAAGUCGAUGAUCUUUAGGGGGCCUGAGAGGGUGAUCCCCCACACUGGUACUGAGACACGGACCAGACUCCUACGGGAGGCAGCAGUGAGGAAUAUUGGACAAUGGGUUAGCGCCUGAUCCAGCCAUCCCGCGUGAAGGACGACGGCCCUAUGGGUUGUAAACUUCUUUUGUACAGGGAUAAACCUGUCUACGUGUAGAUAGCUGAAGGUACUGUACGAAUAAGCACCGGCUAACUCCGUGCCAGCAGCCGCGGUAAUACGGAGGGUGCAAGCGUUAUCCGGAUUUAUUGGGUUUAAAGGGUCCGUAGGCGGAUGCGUAAGUCAGUGGUGAAAUCUCACAGCUCAACUGUGAAACUGCCAUUGAUACUGCGUGUCUUGAGUAAGGUAGAAGUGGCUGGAAUAAGUAGUGUAGCGGUGAAAUGCAUAGAUAUUACUUAGAACACCAAUUGCGAAGGCAGGUCACUAUGUCUUAACUGACGCUGAUGGACG
RNAcentral lists this ribosomal RNA (688 nucleotides) under uncultured bacterium. RNAcentral's name for it is "bacterial SSU rRNA". It matches the Rfam family "Bacterial small subunit ribosomal RNA", at positions 67 to 755 of the family's 1533-position model. The record is from RNAcentral.